CCCUUAGAUGUUCUGGGCCGCACGCGCGCUACACUGAUGCAUUCAACGAGUUUCUUCCUGGUCCGAGAGGAAUGGGUAACCUUUUGAAAGUGCAUCGUGAUAGGGAUAGACUAUUGCAAUUAUUGGUCUUCAACGAGGAAUUCCUAGUAGACGUAGUUCAUCAGACUGCCUCGAUUACGUCCCUGCCCUUUGUACACACCGCCCGUCGCUCCUACCGAUUGAAUGCUCAGGUGAGCCAUUCGGACUUUCAUCAUGCUGGUUUCCAGUUUUGAUGAAGGAAAGUCUUGCGAACCUUAUCAUUUAGAGGAAGGAGAAGUCGUAACA
RNAcentral lists this ribosomal RNA (324 nucleotides) under uncultured eukaryote. RNAcentral's name for it is "partial 18S ribosomal RNA". It matches the Rfam family "Eukaryotic small subunit ribosomal RNA", at positions 1470 to 1796 of the family's 1831-position model. The record is from RNAcentral.